RNAcentral lists this unclassified non-coding RNA (167 nucleotides) under uncultured fungus. RNAcentral's name for it is "sequence contains ITS1". The record is from RNAcentral. Lineage: Eukaryota; Fungi.
UUAACUUAUUAAAGUUUAUUCAGACAUUACAGUUAAACAGAGUUUAGUAUGAUGUUCCGCACCAUUGCUGAUGCGGAAAGAAAAGGGAAAGGUAAGCAAGUGUUUAUGAUAUGGGCUCAUAAGAGACCCUCUCAUUAAUGAUCCUUCCGCAGGUUCACCUACGGAAA